Molecule: long non-coding RNA, 410 nt
Organism: Coturnix japonica (Japanese quail)
Lineage: Eukaryota; Metazoa; Chordata; Aves; Galliformes; Phasianidae
Source: RefSeq, a predicted model, not a curated record
GGGUCACUUUGCACGACUCUUAGUGCCGCUGUCACCCGUGGGUGAGCUCUCUCCCCAGCGUAGCAGAGCUCUGCUCACAAACAGACCUUCCCAGCCCUCCCGCCUUGGCUGUCAUACAUAAGAUACCCAAAUGGCAUCCCCAUUCAACAUCAGUCAGCUGCUCCAGUGCUGUGGAAGGACAAACAUUUCCCUCCCACCAGAAGAGGAACCUUUGACAGAUGGAAUAACCAGUUCUCAUUCUCCUGAGACCAGCAGGAACAGAAAUCAAGACUUCUGUUGCUGUAGGAAGUGGCUGCUGAAAAGGACAUUUCAGACUUACACUUAAAGAGCCCAGAAUAGUGGAAAUAGAAGUUGGCCAGUGGAAAAAAAAUCAAUUCCAUCUGCCUUAUAAAGUAAUCCAAAGCACUGAA